GCCGAAUCUGUCCACUCUCUCCGCCGCGGCGCCCGCCGCCGCAUGAUCGCCACUGCCCCUCGGUCGCCGAUCCGCAGGUCUGGAAGGCCUGCGCAGACAGCGCCUUCCAGAUCCUUGUCAUCCAUCACCCAUCCCUUCCACGUCUCCAUGCCGCCCGCCCGCCGGAUCGUCUCCUCUUCGGCGGCGCCUCAUUCUCGACGGCGAGGAGAUCCCG
Molecule: unclassified non-coding RNA, 214 nt
Filed under: Hevea brasiliensis (rubber tree)
Lineage: Eukaryota; Viridiplantae; Streptophyta; Magnoliopsida; Malpighiales; Euphorbiaceae
Source: RNAcentral